Long non-coding RNA from Arachis duranensis, 1078 nucleotides. RefSeq lists it as uncharacterized. The transcript has 3 exons. NCBI's taxonomy places the organism in Eukaryota, Viridiplantae, Streptophyta, Magnoliopsida, Fabales, Fabaceae. The record is from RefSeq and is a predicted model, not a curated record.
GAUAGGCAGAGCUGCUGCGGAUCAGGCUGCAUGUCGUGGUCAGGGUGGGGGAGGAUUUCUUCCGGUACCUCUGAGACUUCUGGAUCCUCUCCCUCUAUUCUGACCACGUCGGUGACGCCGCAUGUUGGGGUUUAAUGGACCAGCCGUUCCCCAUGGUCCCUAACCCAAAUUACGUGCCUCCGUCCACGACGAUGGCGCCGCCUCCGACCGCUCAGCAGCCCGCAUCCACGGUGACGCCGACUCGCGACAGAUGCCGCGGCCCUCGUGUGUCUAGUCUCAGACAUGACAGUAGCUGAAGCCCCUCAACCACCUCCCACCAUACGGUUGCGCAUUUGGCCUGAUGGCGGCACGGGUCAAAGUCGUUGGAACAUGAGGUCACAUUAGCGGAGACAUUCAAGUACACCCACACGCUGAAGGAGAACAAAGCGAGAUUUAUUGAUCACCGGUCUUAGAACCAUUAUGCGAAAGUCCUACACACAAAGACUAGAUGCCGCGACUCAGCAGUCUCAGCAAAGUGGGGAGGACGUCACCGAUGGAUCUGUGAUCUCAAUCGUUGACCCCGAUGCAGUUUGGCGCGAGACUGCCUCAGCCUCGUACAAGAACCGCGUUCUGGGAUGGGGUCGUUCUUCGCCAGUAGCCUCCGCACCUCAACGUUGAGGCCGUUGUCAAGCUUCGCCACCAGUCGAGCCAUCCAACCCGAGGAAGGCGUGGAUUUAAGCUUCCAAGUGCAGGAGCUCUAGUGCAGCUUUCACUAGCAGGCUCAGGAGCUUAACAAUUAUCGGGAGAGACAUCAGGAGAUCUCACCCGCGUGACGUCUAUGGAUGAGUUCAGGUUGGAGUUUAGAGAGUCACUGGAGCGGAUGCAGGAGCUCAUAUGGAGGUGUACCUGACCCAGAUGUGCGCCGCUGGCAUCGACCCUGCUGGUGGCAGCGGUCCUGCUGCAGGUGACAGCAGUAGCGCUAGUGGCACAAGGAUAUCGUCAUCGCCUCCUGCACUGCUAACUCAAGGUUAUGGGACUCACGACGACGACUACUUGGAUAUGUAGAUAUUAAUUUUUAUUUUAUUACUUCAUAUAUUUA